AGAAACCCUAAAUUUGCAAAACCGAGAUAUAUCCGAUCAUUCUCUUCGGUCUCCAUGGAGCAGUGAAUCUUCUUCUAUCUUUACAUCUCCCCAUAUUUACUCAGGCAUCAUUAAUGCUUCGGAAUCGUAACAGUUUAGUUAUUCCUUCCUAUAUAUAACAACUCAAAUACAGCUCCUAACUCCGGAGAAGAAGUAACGCUAUUCGUUCUCCAACUCGCUAUCCUCGAGAAAACCACCACCGGAAUCUGGUUCGUCACCAUCAUCCUCCUCAUCGAAGGCGCCAGAAUCUUCAGCAGAAGGGCCAUGAGCUUGAGUUGCAGCACCAAGGUUGAAGGAAAACGCGAGCGUGUACUCAAAUCCGAGAAGGGAGAGAUGGAGGCAUGACUCAGCAAGGAGAAUAUAUAAACUCUGCAACUAAAGGAAGACCUAAAAGAGAAUGAUACUGCGAAACAACGAGUUAUACAAGCUUGAGGUUGCAGAGGUAAGACAAAAGCUUCAGACAACGGAAACACUUGAAAAGGAACUGAAGCUCCUCCACCUUCAAAGAGAGGUUGCGUCUGAACAAGCCACCGCCAAUGUGAAUGGCAAAAGACAAAGCUUUGGUGGCGUCUGGGGAUGGCUUACUGAAACUCCUCCGCCAGAACAUGAAUCCAUUGACUAUGUACCGCAGAAAGAUAAUUUAAAAGAACGUGUAUUGUUCUCUAUCUCUGAGCCGACAACAACCAUAGUGUUCUGCAAGGAUGAUCUCCGUUAAACUCAUUGCAAGGAUCACAAGUCUUCAUCUUCUAAGAUUUUGUUGAAAAUGACGAGCAAGUGCGAAAUCUUUUGCGAGAUUUUGAUUGCAGUCCUUCUUCCUCUUCUAGGAGUUUGCCAGGCUGUUGCACUGUUUGGUUGGUAGGUGGAGUUCUUGAUUUGCUUGGUCCUGACUAUCGUAGGAUAAGUACGAGGGAUAAUCUAUGCGCUUUACGUGAUUGUAUUCCAGAACCAAGAAGAGUAUUUCGAUGAAGCCAGACGCCCUCUCUACUAUUCUUCAUGAUAUCUCUCCGUCUCUCUGUCAGAAUCUGUUUGUUCGUUGAGAAAUUUUCACUCUUUGUACCAAAUAAGUUUUUUUUUUUUUUUAAUGUGUGUUUAAGGUUGACAUGAUUAGGUCGUAAGUAAUCUUCUGCUCCUUAGACAUGAUUAGGUCGUAAGUAAUUUUCUUCACCGACGAUUCAGCAUCUUUUCUCGGCCGUUAUUAUGUUAAAGAAUGUUCUUCCUCUCAA
Raphanus sativus (radish) is the source of this 1262-nucleotide long non-coding RNA. RefSeq lists it as uncharacterized. The transcript is spliced from 4 exons. The record is from RefSeq and is a predicted model, not a curated record. Lineage: Eukaryota; Viridiplantae; Streptophyta; Magnoliopsida; Brassicales; Brassicaceae.